GUGCCAACAGGCCAUUAUCUGACAAAUGAUUGAGAAAUGAUCUUAAUCCUGUAUUUCACAGAGGAGAUAUUGUAAAUCAAUUGCCUGUUUGUAAUUUACAGAUACCACUUUCUCCCUUUGGGUAAACUAUUAGGAGGUUGUGAAGCGCUCCGUGGACAACUAUGGAAGUAGACAGGCAAAAUAUCCCCAACUUUCAACAUCCAGCUCCACAGAGAAUUGCCUAAAUCAACCGCUUCUCUGAAAACCUGUGACUCAUCAAGACAUUUAGCAGUGAUUUCGGUCAGUUACUGAAAUGAGCUUCAGGCCCUGUGUACACAGCUACGUGAAGAUUCAGACUAAGGCCUCCUCUCCAGCCUAUGGUGAAGCCCCAACAUACAGCCUCAGCCUGUACACCUCCAGUCAUCUACGUGAUCCUUUUUCAGCCAUGGCCCCUGCUAAUCCAGCCCGUAGUCUGUUGCAUGAAAUGUUAGCUGCAUGCCAGGAGAAAUGCUCAAGGGGAACAAAGCUACGUAUAAGGUGGUUGUGUGGAGGAACAGCAGGUGAAUCAAAAGGGAGAUGCAAUAAAGGAGAGAGGAACUGGAAAAAGAUGUGUACACAUAACAGGGUGGCUGUGAAGCAGUGCAGAGAACAUGGAAGACUAGAACAAGAAACUGCAAUGAUUUCAUCUUGACAAGGUCUGGAACAGAGGAAUUAAGCCAUUGCCCACAGCUGGGCUUCACAAACAAGGGUGCUGUUUGACCUAUCAGUACUGAAAGGUUACAGACCUUGCAGACUUUAUCAAGCAUAACUGACCCUAUACUUUAGAUAGAAAAGAAUCAAACUUCUUGUUUCAGAUUGUCUGGAAGAAUUCACAGCUCUCCUACUUAGGGUUUUUUUAGAAGCAGCAGGACAGCUUGUGGUGCCAUGUCACAGCAGUUGCUUGCCACAGAAACCUCUUGGCUGCUCUUUUCUCUUUCUGCACAAGCUGUCACAUUAAUUGUUGCACCAUAAGAGAUCCCUCACAGCAGCAGUGGGGCCCAGGACAAGUUUUAUCUCCACGUGCUAAUUUGGACAACCAUGAAAGCUGUCUUGACUUGUUACCCCACAGCAAAAGACCCACCCUGGUCACUGCAGAAGAACUAAAUUACCACGCAGCAACAACCCCCUGCUCAAGCUUGUGGCCCACCCUAAAAUGCAGCUGAAAGCCUUCUCUUGUGCAGAGCCAGACCUCUACAGCUCCAUCACGUGGGAAAGUUGCCUGCAGCUGUCAUUUUUACGAGUUUCCCAGAUGCUUUGCAGGUCCUUUUCAAUGCCUGCAGGAUCAGUGUAAGGUGAGCAAGUUUCAGUGAGUUCCUCUGCUGCUGUCUCUGAUCGUGCACACCACAGUUUUACAAGAGGCUACGCGCCUCUUUGGCCCACUGGAUGACUACAGCUCCCCUUUAGCAACAUCAGAGGCCUCAUCUCGGAGGGUUAGCCCACGAGAUAACAGGUGGGCAUGAAAGCAGGGUACGGUAAUUCCCUUUCUCGCUCCUUUGCUCCUGGAUUUUGCCUUUUCACCGCGAACCUGCCCCGGCGCUCUCUGCUUUCAAAACAAAAGCGUGAGCGAAAGUCUGAGGCUGGCACGAGGAGAAGAAAAUCAGUCGACUUUUUAGCUUUGGGAGUACCCCUUCCCUUGUGUGCUCCCUCGUCACCGGUGCCGGGGAGCCCCCAGACCCGAGAAGACCCCGGCCUGUCCCUGAGGGGCAGCCCUGCCCGGCGCAGCGCGGCCGCCAGGGGGCGCCGCCGCCCCGGUGGUGGGGCGGCAGCAAGGCCCGG
Molecule: long non-coding RNA, 1794 nt
Organism: Cygnus olor (mute swan)
Lineage: Eukaryota; Metazoa; Chordata; Aves; Anseriformes; Anatidae
Exons: 4
Source: RefSeq, a predicted model, not a curated record